This is a long non-coding RNA of Herpailurus yagouaroundi (jaguarundi), 266 nucleotides long. RefSeq lists it as uncharacterized. Lineage: Eukaryota; Metazoa; Chordata; Mammalia; Carnivora; Felidae. The record is from RefSeq and is a predicted model, not a curated record. The transcript is spliced from 3 exons.
ACUACAAGGACUGCCUGAACAAAGUGGUUUCAGACACCCAGUCUGGGGAGGAGAGACGGGUUUCACCAUUUUUCUCCCCAUCACCAACAAGAAACUCUGUUCUAUUGAUUAUCUCUUCACUCACCUGAAUCUACAAAUUCUACUUAUUCCUUCCUGACUGUCGAAGUAAAAAUUGCACCCACAAAGUUAAACAGGAUCCUCUUCUCAUAUCUCAAGAGAUUUGGAUGGCUGAAGUAAAGUGACAUCAGGAAUUCAGCAUUCUGAGG